UACAGGAACAAAGAGCUAAACGGGGACUGCAGACUCAACUCAGUUUGGGACAGCCGAGGUGGUUUGGAGACCUUGUUUGUGACUUUAGACCUAGGUGGUGAGACGGAGGGUUACGAUGGCUGUUAGCAGGUUUGACAUAGAUGCGCCGCGGUGGGAUCAGUCCACGUUUAUUGGCAGACUGAAGCACUUUGUCAACAUCACAGACUGGAGGACAGUACUACUGCCACGACUGGACGAGUCUAAAGCACUGGUGGAGAGCUGCAGGGCUAGCAGCUUCCCUUCCCCCACAGAGGAACAGCUGCAUUACGCCAAGAAGCUCUAUGACUCCGCCUUUCACCCAGACACCGGCGAUUGCAUGAACCUGAUUGGUCGAAUGUCCUUCCAAGUGCCCGGAGGGAUGGCCAGAACAGGCGGUAAGCUAUAGUUCUAUCGGACAGUCCCUGCUGUAGUGUUCUGGCAGUGAGUGAAUCAGUUGUUUAACGUUCUAGUCAACUACACCAACAGAAACGCUGCUUCCCCCAUCACCUCCAAUCAGAUAGGAGUGGCCUAUUUAACUGCAACUAGAACUGCACUAACUACUGCUGUGGGACUCAACCUCUACACAAAGAAAGCUCCUCCCCUGGUGGCGCCCUGGGUUCCAUUCGCGGCGGUGGCAUCAGCUAACUGUGUCAAUAUCCCAAUGAUGAGGCAACGAUAGCUCCUGAAUGGCAUCGCUCUAACAGAGGAGAAUGGAAACAAACUGGGUCAUUCCAAGAAAGCAGCUGUGAAGGGCAUCACCCAGGUGGUCAUUUCCCAGGUUACCAUGGCAGCACCGGGCAUGAUCAUUCUCCCCAUCAUGCAGAGACUGGAGGAUAACAAGUUUAUGCAGAGGAUCACCUUUGUCCACGGACCUUAACAAGUGAUAAUGGUGGGAGCGCUCCUGGUCUUCAUGGUGCCGGUAGCCUGGUCCCUGUUCUCUCAGCAAUGCUCCAUGGGCAGUGUACAAAAUGUCUACUUCAACAAGGGCCUCUGAACACACACACGCAUGCCUUCAUUUGGAUCCCAUUCAGAAGCAGCCUGUGUUAGUUUAAUCUGAGGUCAAGAGUCACUAUAACCAACUGUGUGUGUGUGUGUACAUAUCUCAGUGCAAAUGAAGUGUAGUGUAUUGCCCAAACAAUGUGAUGCCAUAUCAGGAAUGGACGUUUACUAAAGCCAUCAUGCAGGUGUUCUAUAGAUGGUUCUGUGGUUUUGCCCUAAGAUCUAUGCAUCAGUGUUCUGAGUCUAUGGUUCCACAGUUUAUUGUUCUAGAAUGCUUGUGUUCACAUACGCUGAAGUGAAGCGAGCCUAGCCAAUGUACGUUUGGCUGAGUGGUGAAGAAGUCAUUGAUGCCACCAGAUUUCUAUUGACAAGUAUAAUUCUCAUUGACUAAACUGUCUUGGUGCAUUUUGUUUCAGGAUUCUAGUUCCACCCUCUCUGCAGUCAGUCAAGAACUGAAAGACUGGGAUAUACAUGGGUAUUAUACACUGUGAUUCUUCUCUAAUGGAAUUAGCCUGUGCCAAGUCCUCAACAACUGGAUGUUCCAGUUUUCAGGGGAAAUGGAAAGAGCUUGUGACGCGACUUCCGUUUUUGGAUGUUAACAAGCCGACACUCAACUUAACUCCGUAACAUUUACUGUAUUGGUUGCAGUGGAGAAGAGAACCUCUCCCGUCAUUUUUCUUCUCUCAUCAAGAUCAGUAUUGCCUUGUUCAAGACAACUGGGAACUCGGAGACAAACGAGCUCCGACUGGGAAAAAUUGAUUUGAACGUCCGUCCUGCUCGGAAUUCCAAGUUGGAAACUCUUGCAUCUUUCCACAGCUCCGAGCCGAAGAUCACCGACGUCAUGAUUUGACCACGGUUAUUUCCGAGUUCCCAGUUGUCUCUAAAGCACCAUAAGUCAGGGAUCACUGGCGCUUUCGAGACAAAGUCGCUCUGGAUAAGAGCGUCUGCUAAAUGACUUAAAUGUAAAUGUAAAUGUAAACUGGGAACUGGGGGGGAAACCUGGUCAAAUCAUGACUUCAGUGAUCUUCAGGUCGGGAAGUAGGAGCUGUAGAAAGAUGCCGGAGUUUACGAUCUUGAAUUCCGAGUUGGAUGACAGUUGGAGCUCAUUUUCAGAAGUCCGAAUUCCCAGGUGGAUUUUGGACGCAGCCCUAGUUUAAGGCGUUUCUUUUACGCCUGCUAUGUUAGGUUACAUCCUUACUGAUGUAGAAGUUGUGGUAAUACAAACGUACCACCAGGGGACAAUGUCUUCUUGACAGAGAGCAACAGAAACUGAAACGCCCGCUUCCCAGAUGCAGCCCUAUUCCCUAUAUUAAAAAGUAAUUUAACUUGGCAAGUCGGUUAAGAACACAUUAUUAUUUACAAUGACAGCCUUCCCCGGGCCAAAUGUGCACCGCCCUAUGGGACUCCCAAUCCCAGCCAGAUGUGACACAGCCUGAAUUCAAACCAGGGAGUGUAGUAAUGCCCAACUCAACUCUGGACCUUGAAGCCUGUGACCAUUCUUUUUUAUUUUUUUAUUGUUUCCCUCUAAUUAGGUUUUGAUUUAGACCUGGGACACCAGAGCCCUAUAUAACCUGCUCAAGUUGUACAACUGAUGUAUAUGCAUUUGGCGGUUGUAAUAAAGGUGUUCUGAACAAAAAUAACUUUGAGGUAGUAUUUGAACCAGGCUAGGACCUGGGGGGAUACUACAAGGUAGGUUCAAUGACUUAGCCAGAUAACUUUGUUAAACAAGCUGAAAUAAAUGUAUUUUCUGGUUCAUAAACAAAGCUAAAUGUAGGUGUUUAUGGUUGAGUUAAGCUUGAAAUGGGCAUGGUCUGCCUUAUCUUUCAAAUAAACCAAGUUAUUUCAGCAGUGGAGGCUGCCUCACAUUAACCAGGCAAGUAAGUGAUGAACAAAUUUACAAUGACAGCCUAGGAACAGUGGGUUAAACUCCCUUGUUAAGAGGCAGAACAGAUGUGUAACUUGUCAGCCCAGGGAUUCGAUCUAGCAACCUGUCGGUUACUGGCCCAAUGCUCUAACCAAUGCCACCCCAUAAUGUCUCAAAUUUCCAUACUAUUUUGUCAGAUAAAAACACUGAUCACUUUCAACAUUUCCAGACUGUAGCUAUUGAGUCAGUCAAUUUCCUGCGCAGGAAAUGUCUUUAAUAGGUUGUAAUCGAUGUUAGCAUUUUCAUUGUGAUGCAUUGCCAAUAAGCAGUAAUCUUCAGAACGCCACAUUGUUGACCACAGCAGGGAUAAUAGUCAGCCCAAAAACCAUGUUAAGAUCUAAACUGUGGUAUCCUUUAUGCUCAACAUCAAGCAUACUCCAGUCCAAAUUUCACUCCUUGUACUUGAAAGUUCAUUCAACAGGCAAAGUACUUCUAAGUACACUGUGCAAUUUGGGAAGCAGGCUGUUCUCUUAUUUAGUCAGCACCCUUCACCCUUAACCACAAGAGGUUGGUGGCAACUUAAUUAGGGAGGACAGGCUUGUGGUAAUGGCAUCAGAUGCCAUUCACUCCUUUCCAGACAUUAUGAGCCAUCCUCCCUUCAGCAGCCUCCACUGGUGCAACACUUAAAAUCAAGGAUUGAUACUACCAGCAGCACAGACACAGAGAAAGUUAUUUCAAAAAGUUUGGUUUUAUUUGAUAAUACUGUCGUAUAUUUUUGUCCAGCAACUGAACGUCCACAAAGGAUUAAACAUGCAUAGUCUGGAUGUACUCAAACUCAACCCCUUUAUCCCCCCUCCAUACAAUGUGUACAUCAGAAAGCAUUGGAUAAGGUAGAAGAAA
Molecule: RNA transcript, 3781 nt
Organism: Oncorhynchus keta (chum salmon)
Lineage: Eukaryota; Metazoa; Chordata; Actinopteri; Salmoniformes; Salmonidae
Gene name: sideroflexin-2-like
Exons: 12
Source: RefSeq, a predicted model, not a curated record